GGGGGACUGCAAAAGCGGCGCGUGGAGCCUAUGGAGACCGUGCGUCGCUGGUGGCAGAGAUGAGGAGCAACCAGCAAAUGGGAUUGUGAGAGUGGCGUGUGAGGUAGGAGAAAGAAGAGAAUCGAAUCUAGGAAGAGACAGGUUUUGCCAUGUUGGUCAGACUGGUUUCGAACUCCCGGCCUCAAGCGAUCCUCUCACCUUGGCCUACCAAAGUGCUGGGAUUACAGGCGUGAGCCACUGUGCCUGGCCUGGGACAUGGAUGGAGCUGGAAACCAUUAUCCUCAGCAAACUAAUGC
Molecule: long non-coding RNA, 296 nt
Filed under: Papio anubis (olive baboon)
Lineage: Eukaryota; Metazoa; Chordata; Mammalia; Primates; Cercopithecidae
Description: lncRNA (ENSPANG00000038308.1)
Source: RNAcentral